Long non-coding RNA from Amphiprion ocellaris (clown anemonefish), 3383 nucleotides. The record is from Ensembl. Lineage: Eukaryota; Metazoa; Chordata; Actinopteri; Pomacentridae.
UCUCAGAGGGCGGAGCCAGAGAGCAGUGAUUGGUCAGACCAUAGAUAAUAUAGAAGACAGCACGCUAACGUCUCUAGUAUUCUGUUUCUAUGGUCGGCACGUCUGGUGGCAUCUCUGGCUGCUGUUGAUCUUGUUUUUGGAGUAAAACACGGUGGAAGCUGAAUUAGUGAGGAUGACUCCUGCUCCUGUCAUCUCUAAGCUCCUCACACAUCUUUACCUGCACAUGAGGAAAAUCACUCCUGUAGAAUGCAGUGGUUCAUCAGAACCUCUGGGGAUGUCCUGUGGAUUCUGUGGAUCCUGUGGGUUGCAGGGUGGGUCCUACCUAGACCAGGCUGAUCCUGGACCAUCCCACAGAUGCUCCAUCAGAUGUGGAUGUGGGGAGUGUGGAACCCAGAUGUUCAGAGGGAGAUGAUGCCACAUCUGGUCCAGCUGAUGGAAGGUCUUGAAGUUCUCUGACUGGCCUCGACUGAAGAUGGUCGUCUCACUGGAUUUAAGGUUCAGAUGCUCAGUAACAAACUCCACCAAUGAGCCAACAGGGAAGCUUUAGGUUUAUUAAAUGUUGCUAUGAAGGUUUCGCUGUUUUUCUUUGUGAAUGCAAUGUGCUCCAACUGAAACUUGAAUUAGAACUUAGAAGUAAAUCCUUCCAUCUGAAAGGAUUUAGUUGCAUUAAUAACCUCAUAACAUUCUAAUUUUUCUUCCAGUCUUAGUUGGAAAUAGAAUCUCUGUAUUGAUUCAGGUAAAAACUGAACUUCACAGCAUGUUGGAGCAAAACAACCAGAUGAAAACUGUGAUGGUGUUGGAUUGUCAGACCGUAAUGUUGCAGCUCAAAGCAGCUUUUCUAGCUCAGUUCAUUCUGACAUUCAGCUAUGAAUCAACACAGCAGAUGGUGAUCCAUGCUGUGGAAGUCUCACAUCUCCUGAUUUAAUGGAGCUGCUUUGCACUUUUUACACUGUUUAUUCACCAACACUUUAUUUAAUAAAAGUCCCAUCUAGUUUUUAUGAGGAAUGUGAUGUUUUAAUUUCUCUGUGAAUAACUGCAGUCUAAUGCAACAGCUGGAGUUGUAACAUCUGUCCUGAUAUUGAUCAUGAAGUAUUGAUCAGAAUACUUAUGGUCAGCAUUCAUCCCUGAAGUUUUACAUUAAAACCUUUACUUGUGUUGUGAAGUUUGGUAAGAAGCAGAAAUGUUAGCGUUGCCAUGGAUACAUGAGUGUUAAAUUCUGUCCAUGUUUCCAUUUUGGGAAAUGCAGUCCAGUUCCAGAAUGUGGAGGAAUUUAGUCUCACAGACAACAAAUAUUAUCUGAAAGUCGGGUUAUUGUUGUUUAUCAGCACAAUACAAAAAGAUUAAUGUUAGAAAUAUUCCAGUUAAGACUCUAGAAUAUCAUGAUUUAUGGAAAUUUACCUCAAUAAUAUGAAUGUUCAGGUUAAGAUUGUACAGUGAUAUUUAUUAUGCAAGUUUAGCUGAUUAAAGUUUAUGACUCUGCACUAAAAUAUUAUUUAAAUUGACAUCAUUAUUAUAUUUAGGGUCAGACCCUACAGUAUUGAGAUUAAGAAAUCAAAUAUUCUAUAAAAUGUAAAUACACUGAACUCAUUUGGAUAUAUUUAAGUGAGACUCUACAAUAUUAUUUGACACAAAUCUAACUAAAUCCAAAUUUUAAUCAUUUUUACCCCAAACAUUUACUGGACUGAUUUAAAUAUUAAAAUCACUCCUUUCUAAUCCUCUGCUGUACGUUCAAACCUGAGGCCUUAAAUAGAAACACACAAGUAUCUGAUUGAAGGAACUUCUGCAGAGUCCUGGUUCUAGAACAUGAUGAUAGAAUUAUAGCCAAACUUUAACAAAAGCUGCCUGAGAGUUUACAGAUUUUUAUGUUGGAUUUCUUCAGUAAAUUUAAUGAGUUAUCAGCAAUAAUCAAGUGUUCAUUUGAUGAACUUCAUUUCCUAAAACAUCCAGAAUUGGAGCUCAUAUCUUUGGCAGCUGUAAAGUUUCUGCUCCUUCAAAGUUCACAACACAAUGAAUGAAUUCCUAAAACACUCUCAGUGCUGGAGAGCGUUUGUGAUGCUGAAGCAGUGACCAGUUUUUCUGUUUCUUCUCUGGAGAUGCACAAUGAGGGACGUCUGCAGCGACUGAGAAAGAGUCUCACCACAUCCUGACAUGAGGAAAAAGACUUAAUUGAAGACUACAAUGAGAAAAACUAUCAGACAGCAGACGGCUGCAUUCAAGUCUGUAGCUGCUGAAUUCAUGGAUGAAUCAUCUGGCACUAGAAAGGAAGACCAUCAAACAUCCACGUCAGCUGAUGGAGGACCAAGAGUCUCACCUAACAACCAACCUACAGAGUGAAGACCUCGAAUCUGAUUGGACGGCCUCCUAUUCAGCCACAUGUGUGAACAAAUGCCUCUAAGUUGAUUUGUUUUCUAAAAUAAAUCUAGUUUGAGUCCUAAUCUAUGCCUGUGUGUUUGCUUCUUUACACCGCUGUUAACAGUUUAGGCUGUUACAUUGUUCCAGAUAAGACAAGUACAAGAUUCUUCAGAGCCGUUCUACCACGAGCCUGACAGGAAGAACUCCAACAGCUACUGAAUGUUCCUGUGGUUCCCUCAAGGCUACAGGAGGAGCCCUAUGAGGACGAGCCGGUCCACCUGAUGGCGGCCAGUCGCUGCGGUUCAAAGCCAACACCGACUACGUGGACUUCUACUGGACCACACGGAGGCCUUCAAACCGGACCAACAAGUUCACCGACUCCCCGACUCGUGGGUCUGAGGACGCCGCCGAGCCUCGGCCCAGCCGGCCUCCUGUCUGUGGGUGUUUGAGUGCUGAGAGGUUUGUGGAUGCAUGUGAACAUGUCUGUGUUGAAACAGCAGCUUUUCACUCAGUAACGCCGGGAAAAACCAAGAGCUCCUUUAUUUGUGACUUCCACUAAAAAAACUGAUGAAAAUAAGUUUGCCAGGGUUCUGACUAAUAACAGAUUAUUAAAUAAUGAAAAUAAUCGUUUAAAUAUUCUUUUAAACAAUCCUUUUAGGUCUGCAUUUCCUUUACACUGACUUCUUGGUAUAUGUACAAGUAUUUUGGGUGGAAUAUACCAUUAAGCCCGAUGUUCGAGGGUUCUUCUGGGAAUAUACCAUCAGAUCAACCUUUUAGGUCUACAUUGGAAGAUUUUAGAGUAGAAUAUUACUCCAAACCAUCCUUUAGGUCUACAUUUAAGGUGGAAUACUCCUUUACACCAAGAUUUUUUGGUCUACAUUGAAAGAUUUUAGGUGAAAUAUUCCUUUGAACGAACUUUUUAAGUGUAUGUUCAAGGAUGUUUGGUGGAAUAUACCAUCAGACCAACCUCCAAGUUCUACAGUAGUGAAUUUUAGAUGGAAUAUACCAUUAAACUCACCUUUUAGGUCUAC